UAGUCUGCAACCCGACUACAUGAAGCUGGAAUCGCUAGUAAUCGCGGAUCAGAAUGCCGCGGUGAAUACGUUCCCGGGUCUUGUACACACCGCCCGUCACACCAUGGGAGUCAGUAACGCCCGAAGCCGGUGACCCAACCGAUAAGGAGGGAGCCGUCGAAGGUGGGACCGAUAACUGGGGUGAAGUCGUAACAAGGUAAC
Molecule: ribosomal RNA, 201 nt
Filed under: uncultured bacterium
Lineage: Bacteria
Description: partial 16S ribosomal RNA
Rfam family: Bacterial small subunit ribosomal RNA
Source: RNAcentral